RNAcentral lists this long non-coding RNA (615 nucleotides) under Actinidia chinensis (golden kiwifruit). RNAcentral describes it as "long non-coding RNA (ACHI_LNC008851)". The record is from RNAcentral. Lineage: Eukaryota; Viridiplantae; Streptophyta; Magnoliopsida; Ericales; Actinidiaceae.
AGUCGACCACAUUAAAAAAUGACUUCCAUCCAAAGUAGAUGAAUCACUCAGAAGGAAGAAGAACACAAAAAGCAUACAGCACAUAGUUAGUGAGGAUGGAAAUUUCUAGUUCUCUCAUGUCUAUGGAAGUAUGGCACGCAAAUACACACACAUGCAGAGAGAGUGAAACCCAGUGCACCGCAAUGCCAAUAAUCUAGUUUCUGCAUCUAAUUUCACCACUAGCAUUAUUGAACAAACAUACUUUCAGCAGUUGCGCACUUCCAGUAAACAAUGAAUCACUGGUAGGGAAGAAGAAUACAAGAAGCAUACAGCACAUAGUGAGGAUGGAAAUUUCUAGUUCUCUCAUGUCUAUGGAAGUAUGCUGCGCAAAUACACACACAGGCAGAGAGAGAGAGAGAGAGAAGUACAUUUGUUAUGUGUGCAAAAACCCAGUGCACCGCAAUGCCACUAAUCUAGUUUCUGUCCGCUAAUUUCACUACUAGCAUUACUGAACAAACAUACUUUUCAGCACUUGCACACUUCCAGUAAACAAUGAAUCCUUGAGAAAUGUCAUCCAACGUUCUCCUAAGUAAAUGAUUGUCUAAAAGUCACAGCAUUCUCUUUAGGCUGUGUUUG